UUAGAAACGUUGAAGAGAAGAGUAAGAUUUAGUUAAGACUUAAGAGACCCCUAGCUUGGUGUGAACGGGGAGCUUAACUGGUUUGAAAGUAGUCUCCGAGAAUUGAAUACGAACCGAGUGUUCAAUGGGUGCACCCAUUAUAGUGCCAGGGUAUCGUCAGCAAUGGCCGUACUUGGUAAGGUAUGUUUUGUGAGAGACAUACAAAAUGAGGUGGUAACACGUGAAAACGUCCUUAUU
Molecule: non-coding RNA, 237 nt
Filed under: Paucilactobacillus wasatchensis
Lineage: Bacteria; Bacillati; Bacillota; Bacilli; Lactobacillales; Lactobacillaceae
Description: Lactobacillus wasatchensis T-box sequence
Rfam family: T-box leader
About the family: Uncharged tRNA acts as the effector for transcription antitermination of genes in the T-box leader family.
Source: RNAcentral